GCAAAGACAGAGAAUUCACGUGCUGCCCAGGCAUAGCCACAUAGCAGGUGGACAUCCCUGGACACUUUUCUGACAAAGCACGCAAUGUGGGGACAACACAGAAAUCCAAGAAAGGCAAGACCAAUUUCAAGGCACUAAAUAAGUGGACUGAGACAAGAAGUACACAGAUACUUCCCAGAACAAAACCCUCACUGGAUUUUCCUGGAAGUACGGAGAGUUACAUCCAGAGAACUCUGAACAUUUUGGAAGGACCCCAAUCCUGCAAACAAUGAAUGGCAAUAAAUCCUGGGACUGGAAAGGUUUAAUGAAGCCAGCUGUCAUGUUGAUGAGACUCAUGUGUCAAGGAACUGAAGAUGGUCCUUAGCCAACAGCCAGCCAGGAACUGAUUGGCUAGUAGUCCUUGAGGAACUGAAUCUCACCAACAACCAUAUAGUGAACUUGCAAAUGGUGCUUCCUCAGUUGAACCUUCAGAUGAGACUGAAGUCCUAGUUAACACUUUGUUUGCCGCCUUGUAAGAUUGUGAAACAGAGGCCUGAGCUAAGCCAUGCCCAGAUUCUUGAUCCACAGAAACUGUGAGAUAAUAAAUGUGCAUUGAUUUAAGCCUCAGAUUUUGUGGUAAUGCUUUACAAAGCAAUAAGUAACUAAUACAGUAUUCAACAAAUUUUUUGAAAAAAAAAAGAUGCUUGAAGACCUGUAUUUAAUUAUUUUUGUGAAGAAUACUCAAUGUAUACUGACUGCACCUGGGUUUUUAGUCUUAACCCAAUCAUAUACUAGUUUUAUGACCCGACAAAAAUUUUUUUCUCUCUCCCUAGAGGUCACUUUCUUCAUCUGUUAAACCAGGUAAUUAAUUUAGAUGAUCUUUAAAAUGUCCACUAGAUUUCAUACAUCUAUCACAUAUGAUUUCAUGUAUAUGUAUAUGUAAAUUUUAUAUAUAUACAAAAUUUAUUUUCAUUUGCAUUUAUGAAACUGGAGAAACAAAAUAAAAUUACAUUUAUUUAUUUUAAUUUAAUCUUGAAAGUAAAUUCAUGUUAUCUUCUAAAAAUGUUUCAAUUUACAAUUCAUCCAUAUUAACUUUAAUAAAAUGAUAUUUGG
RNAcentral lists this non-coding RNA (1092 nucleotides) under Pan troglodytes (chimpanzee). The record is from RNAcentral. Lineage: Eukaryota; Metazoa; Chordata; Mammalia; Primates; Hominidae.